This 468-nucleotide ribosomal RNA is filed under the name uncultured bacterium. RNAcentral describes it as "partial 16S ribosomal RNA". It matches the Rfam family "Bacterial small subunit ribosomal RNA", at positions 28 to 507 of the family's 1533-position model. The record is from RNAcentral.
GACGAACGCUGGCGGCGUGCUUAACACAUGCAAGUCGAACGGAAAGGCCCUGCUUUUGUGGGGCGCUCGAGUGGCGAACGGGUGAGUAACACGUGAGUAACCUGCCCUUGACUUUGGGAUAACUUCAGGAAACUGGGGCUAAUACCGGAUAGGAGCUCCUGCUGCAUGGUGGGGGUUGGAAAGUUUCGGCGGUUGGGGAUGGACUCGCGGCUUAUCAGCUUGUUGGUGGGGUAGUGGCUUACCAAGGUUUUGACGGGUAGCCGGCCUGGGAGGGUUACCGGCCACAUGGGGACUGAGAUACGGCGCAGACUCCUACGGGAGGCAGCAGUGGGGAAUAUUGCACAGUGGGCGGAAGCCUGAUACGAAAACGCCGCGUGCGGGAUGACGGCCUUCGGGUUGUAAACCGCUUUCGCCUGUGACGAAGCGUGAGUGACGGUAAUGGGUAAAGAAGCACCGGCUAACUACGUG